CACAUUGUUUGGUUUGAUAGUUUAUUUAUUCAUGUCUACUAUCCAAUGUGAUUCAUGUGCUUAUAUGAUUACCUUGAAUGUGAUUUGGAACGCAUUCCUAAAUCUCAUUCAUACUCUGGCCAGAGAUUCUAAAUCAUAUCAUAGAGUAUUCUCCCUCAAACAGUUUGAAGGUUAGAGAUCCCUUGUUGCGCAUUCACUUGCCUCCAUGACUAAGUGGCUUGACCCCAACGAUGUCGUGGGCACCCCGAGGGGGUGACUUUGACAUAAUCAAAGAUCAAGGACUUAACCACAAGACAACUGUGAUGACUCAGGUCAAAGGACUACUUUGCAUUAUCCCAACCAUGAGUUCUCAUGUGAUAUGAGUAUGAGAACUCUUCGCGUUCAGUGAACUCAUUCUCUACUGAGCACCUACGUACUUGUCUUGAUGUCACACACACCAAUGACUCGAGACUAGUCACUCUCCCUGAGAAAAGACAUAGCACAUACCGAUCUUGACGGACUGUCAAUGCCCAAUUGACAAUCCUAUGAUCAGGAACUUUUAGGAUGUGUCUACGAAAGAAUGGUCUCAUGAAUCUAACUUCAUUAGAUUGCAUUCUCCCAAUCACAUAUUCCUUGGACUUUAUCGUUUAAGCAUAUAACAUUUAUAUGAGACGGCUCAAACAAUAAUCUUUGCCCUUUAUAUUAAACUAGAUUAGUUUAACAUGUGAAAUGUCCGUAAAGUAUCAUCACAUGAUUGGUUUUAGGGCACAUUUCCAACAUAGGGAUCCCCAUCCCUCAGCCUAGAAAAGCUAUUACUGCUGUUUCAGAGUCUUUCCCCUCUAUUUAUAUUGAAGCUGCCAUUGCUAUUGGUACCUCUGGGGUGCUGGAGUAAUGUCUCCCCCUCUAGCAUUUAUUCUAACCAUGGCCUCCUUGCCCAAACUAGUUAAAGAGUUUGGGAAAAUCGAGAUAAAUCUGAGGUCUCCAAAGCUUACCUCCACGCCUCAAUAUCUUCAAGAUCGGUGAAGAGUCUUCAAAGAAUGGAUGCAGAAGGAUUUCACGGCCUCCUUUAACCUCAAGGCACUUCAGGAUGUUGAGAAAGUCCUCACUGAAUUGUACAAGGCUCAACAGAUAUCAAAGGUUAAAUAUGAGUCAUUUCUUUCUUUCUUCGAGAAUUUGAGAGCUCUAUGGGACCAACAUCUUCGUGCAUAAAGGUAAGCAAAUAGAGUGAAGUGUUAUAAGGAAAAGCACUCUAUAACUUCCAGCUCCUUGUAGAAGUUAGUAGAAGAGGGCUCAGCCAUGGACGAUCGCAUCGUGGUGGUUGCUGCUGAGAUCCAAAAGUUGGAGGAGUAACUUUUUAUGCUGAAGGCUGAGUAGAUGACUUUCUCAAGCAAACUUUAUUAGAAAAUUAAGGAAGUGAAGAGAGUCAAUCUUGAAGUGGAAGAUUCUGAAGCUUAAUUAGCCAACAGUAACAUCUCCUUAAAGGAGCUGGGCAAAAUCUUUACUAUUAUGCAGACCUAUCAUUCCAGCAUAGCUGCCCUAGUUAGAGAUGUAAACUUGGUAGGCUAGGAUCUCUUGUAACCUUCUAAAGCCUUACCGAACUUACAUUGAUUUCUAUAAGGAGUACAACAUCUUGCCCAAAAGUUAAUGCAUAAGGGGUGGUCCUAGUUCCUGCCAUCUUGGAGGUUCUAUAAGCCCAAAGAGUAUCUCUCAACUUCUCAUGCCACCUUUCUGGGCUAUCUACCACCAUUAUCUUAAUGAAAUUCACCAAGAUAUUAUUGCUAGCUUGUGCUUGACCAUUGGAUUAGGGAUAAUAAGGGCUAGUUUGGACCAACUUUAUCUUAAACUUGUCUGCAAACUUUUAUACUUCUUUUGAGAUAAAUGAUGGCCCUCUAUCUGUAACAAUUGUCUCGGGCACUCCAUAUCUAUGUAGGAUCUUGGUCUCAAUGAACUUCUUCACAGCAACUGAAUUGAUGGUCUUUACAAUUAAAGCUUCUACCUAUUUAGUAAAGUGGUUAGUUGCCACAAUUAUGAAGGUGUGCCUCUUGCUAGAAGCCGUGUAUAUUUGCCCAAUAAAGUCCAUUGCCCACCCUCUAAAAGGCCAUGGUUUCAUUAUCAGAUUCAAAGGCACUGAUGGUAAAUACUGGAGGGUUCUAUGUCUCUAACAUUUUUCACACCGUCUAGCAUAGGUCUUACAAUCUUUUUCCAUAUCGGGCAAAAAGUAGCCAUACCUUCUCAGUAACCACCUCAUCUUUUUUCCAGCUUGAUGUGCUCCACAGAUUACUUCAUGUAUGAUAGGAGCAUAUUUAUGCGCCUUAGUUAGCUAGUUCUUAUGCAUUUCCAUGGUGUUUUCUUAGUUAAAGUAGUCUUUUAAGCUAGUUUUAUGUCUUUUCAGGUUUUAAGGGCAAAUCAUAUAAAAAGAUGCAUUUUGGAGCCUUUUGGAGCAAAAUGGAGCUUGGAAUGAAUGUCACCCCUCGGAGCAAUGCCCUCAACUAAUUGAGAAUGGAGGUUGGGAAAGUGCAAACGCCAUUGGUUUUCAAGAUCAAAAUCAACCCAGAAAUGAUCCAUUUUCUAAUACAUACAAUCCGGGAUGAAGGGAUCAUCCAAAUUUCAAAUGGCGAGAACCCCAACAAGGCCAACAACAAAGUACAUUUAGGCAACAACCCCCAGGUUUCUAUCAAAGGCCGUUUGCACCAACUCAACCCCAAGCACAACCUGCCCAAAACAAAUCAGGUUCUUCUAUUGAUAAUGAUCAUAUUUUUCAAUUACUAACUUCCUAGUUCACAACCUGCACAACCUGCACAACCUGCACAUUAAGCAUAUUUAUACGCCUUAGUUAGCUAGUUCUUAUGCAUUUCCAUGGUGUUUUCUUAGUUAAAGUAGUCUUUUAAGCUAGUUUUAUGUGUUUUCAGGUUUUAAGGGCAAAUCAUAUAAAAAGAUGCAUUUUGGAGCCUUUUAGAGCAAAAUGGAGAUUGGAAUGAAUGUCACAUAUUUGGAGCCAAGGUUUGGAUGAAUUUGAAGACUUGAAGAUGAUGAUUCCUACUUGAACAAGGUUUCCUAGUUGAAGUAGGAAAGUGCUUACAUGAAGAAGGAUUCCUAAUCGACGAAAGAUUCCUAGUUGAAGAUGGAUUCCUAGGAGAAUGAAAAUUCCUACUCAAACAAGGUUUCCUACUUGAAGUAGGAAAGUUAAACCUAAUUGGCCUUGAGUUUCAGCAACAAAUAAGUAUUCCAAGUCAAAGAAGGAAAAGGAAUCCAAAAAGAAGAAGGAUUGAUCAAGACAAGUUUCCCUAUUCCUAAUGUGCAAAGGUUUCAGCUACAAAGAGGAGUCCUAAACACUUUAGGACACCUUAGCCUUAUCUUAGAGGAGUGCCACAUCAAUUUCAGCAAGGAUAUCUAUUUUCCUGGCCUUGCAAGGCUUUCUAGAAGCCUUAUCCAUUGUUUCCCUUUGUUGCUGCAACUAUUUGACCUUUUCCCCUUUUAAUUCUGAUUUCUAAGCCUUUUUCCUUGUUGAUUUGGGUUAUCCAAGUCCAUAUAUGAUUACCCUAGGGUUUUAGGUGCCUAUAUAUACUCAUAUCUCAGCCCUAGCCGAAUUACCACCUCUCAUACACAUCAUUCACGCCAGAAACAUACACCCACUCUUUGUCGUGGCCUUCCACCACCAUUCUCUCUAAUUCCAGCCAAAAAUCAUCCCUUGGCGCACCAACCAUCAACCCUAACCACUACCACACUCUCCCUCAUCCAUUCUACACCAUUUAAUAACCCAAAACCUGUCCACAAACUCUAUGCCGCAGCAAGGAGGAAGGAGGAACUUCGUGGAUGCACUUGCUGUCCAAGUUGGAGUAUCUAGGUGUUUUCUUUCCUUGGAUUUCAAUGUUUAAACUUAUUUAUCUUUGCUUUGUGCGUAUGAGGAACUAAACCCCCCUUGCCUAGGGGGGAUUCGAAACCAUGUUUAUGCUUGCUAUAUGAUUUGAUUACUUCUAAUUGCGUUUCAUAAGUUGUGAAUUCAAUUUACUUAUCUAUAUGAAUUAAAACUGAUUUGUGUGUGUUGGUUGAGAGUGCACGCUUAAUUUUCAUGCAUAAGUUUGAUGCUGCUAGGAUAUAAGGGAAUUUCACCUAAUCGUUACGAACUUAUAUUCAAAAGUAGUAAAGGUUUGUGAUCACAAUCGUGUUAAGUAAAUUCUUGGCAUAAGUUUCAUGCAAUUCAUAGUAACGAGUGCCUCGCCAAUGCUUAUGAUUUUCAUAGAACUUAAUGAUCUUUGCUUGUAUCUUUGUUAUGCAAUUCAUGAAGGGAACUUGUGAGGAAUGCUUUGGGUUGUCGUAUGCAAUUCAUCCAAUUCGAUAACUUUAGGAAAAUCUGAGGGUUAAUUAGUGCAAUUCACGGUUAAUCUGGGGCGUUGGGAAUUCAUGGUUUAUUGAAAAGCAAUUGGAAAUCAUUUUGUAUGCAAGUGUGACAUGUGUAGAGAAGAACCCCUUAGCUAGCUUUUUAUCCAUUCACUUUUAUCAAAUUCGUUUUAAAAUCUGUUCAAGUUACAAAGUUUUUGUUUUGUUUUUAAUUUCGUCAAAACCAAUUCCCCCUUUAUUUUGUUGAGUCAUCUUAGUUAGAAAUCAAUUUAGUUUGUGUUUUUAAGUGUCUUGAGUCAAGUUAUAACCUAUUUUCGUCCAAAUUGUGUUUUGUAUUCAAAACUGCCCAGAAAGUGUUUUUAAGGCAGUUUUGACUGUUUCUGGGCUGUUUUGAGUCUUUUGGUUUGUUUUAAUGUUUUAGACUUUAGUUUUGCAUUCUUUAAGUCUAGUUUAGUGUUUAAACUUUGUUUUUACGUUUUGAGUCAGUUUUCAAGUGAUUUAGCAAUCCCUCCAAAUCCCCGGCCUAGAACGAUCCCUACUUACAUACUUUGCUACAAUUGAUAAAAAGAGGGUCUAAUUUGUGUGCUUAUAUAAUUCGCAUCAAUGUACUUCAGCCAUCACCCUCAUUAACUCUUCCAUGCCUAAGCUGUUGGAAAUGUGCCCUAAAACCAAUCAUGUGAUGAUACUUUACGGACAUUUCACAUGUUAAACUAAUCUAGUUUAAAUAUAAAGGGCAAAGAUUAUUGUUUGAGCCGUCUCAUAUAAAUGUUAUAUGCUUAAACGAUAAGUCCAAGGAAUAUGUGAUUGGAAGAAUACGAUCUAAAGAAGUUAGAUUCAUGAGACCAUUCUUUCGUAGACACAUCCUAAACGUUCCUGAUCAUAGGAUUGCCAAUUGGGCAUUGACAGUCCGUUAAGAUCAGUACGUCCUGUGUCUUCUCUCAGGGAGAGUGACUAGUCUCGAGUCAUUGGUGUGUGUGACAUCAAGACAAGUACGUAGGUGCUCAAUAAAGAAUGAGUUCACUGAACACGAUCAACGAAAAGUUCUCAUAUUCAUGUCACAUGAGAACUCAUGGUUGGGAUAAUGCAAAGUAGUCCUUUGACUUGAGGCAUCACAGUUGUCUUGUGGUUAAGUCAUUGAUCUUUGAUUAUGUCAAAGUCACCCCAUCGGGGUGUCCACGGCAUCGUUGGGGUUAAGCCACUUAGCCAUGGAGACAAGUGAAUGCGCAACAAGGGAUCUCUAACCUUCAAACCGUUUGAGGGAGAAUACUCUAUGAUAUGAUUUAGAAUCUCUGACGCCAGAGUAUGAAUGAGAUUUAGGAAGUCGUUCCAAAUCACAUUCAAGGUAAUCAUAUAAGCACACGAAUCACAUUGGAUAGUAGACAUGAAUAAAUAAACUAUCAAACCAAACAAUGUGGUCAAGAGUAUUGUAUUAGAGAAAGACCGUAUUCCAUUUGUAGUCCUAAACUGAAUAUGUUCUCCACCUCUUCUGAUUAGCUUGGGUAACCAUGAUAUGCUGCUAGGUGUCACUCAUGGUUUGUGGAAGCCCUAAACGUGUAUAAUCACUAAAGGGAGAAUUGAAAGUAAGUUUCAAUUCACAAUCGAUGUGAAAUGGUUUUAAUCGCCCACUGCCUUGCUAAAAGGAACCUAAUGGAUCGUACACCGUGUAAGGUGGAGAUUGAAGAAAACAAUCGGAAAUGAGUAAGAAUAAUUAAAUGGUUUAAUUAUUUAUGGCAAGGAUUAAUUAAUAUGUUAAUUAAUUAAAACGAAUAAGUUCGUUAAAGACCUCGGGAUAGUUUUGGACCUUAAGGCCCAAUGGGCUUCGAACGUCAAGCCCAUUGACUUAAGUUGUAUGACAACUUAAUGAAUAAUGAUUCACAAAGGCCCAAUUAGCCCAAUAAUAUCCCAAUGGCCGGCCAUUUAGUUUUGGAGUGGGUUUUGGACUUAUUUACAAGUUUGCCACUCCAAUGAAUUAAGGUAUAAAUAUGACUUUAUUGCCAAAAUUCAAAAAGGGUUUUUCUUUUGGAGAAAAUUGGUGAGAACUUGUCUCUCCUUUUCUCUCUAAAGAGGCCGGCCCCUUGGAGGGUGUAUCUAGCCAUACUAACUACUCCAAGGUCACUCAUUUCUUCUCCAAUCUAACCUUGGUGAAGAUACUUAGAGGUUCUCAAUUUUGGGAACUUGGAGAAACCUUUUCAUCCAUCCAAAUCCAUAGAUUUUAGAUGCAAGGAAUGAAGGCCCUCUCUUUGGGUGAUUAGCCUUUGCUUAUGCAAAGAGGAAUCUACAAAGGUAUGAUUUCAACUCACUUUGUUUUGAGUUGAGUUUUGGUUCACCAAUCUACUAGGCUUUGAAUUUCAUGGGUAAUGUUUUGUUUUUGAAGUGCAUGCAAGCAUGAUUCCGCCUUUAAUUGUUAAUUGCAUGCUAUAUGAUGUUGCUUCAAAUGAACAUGUUUUUCACAAAAAUCUUACUUCAAGUGGUAUCAGAGCCUAGGUCUAGUAGUUGGUGAAUCCUUUUGGGUUUUUGUAGUUCAUAGUUUGUGAUUUAAAAGUUGUAAUAUGUUACAAGCUUUAUUCUUGUUUCUUUGAAUGUAAAUUUUGUUAGAAAAUUUGCCAUCUCAAAUGUUGUAGAUGUAGUUCAUAUGAGCAUGAAUAUUGGAGCUAAAAUUUGGUGCCAUGAUUUUGGGAUUUUCGGCCAAAUACCAUAGGGUGAAAUUUUUGGGUUCUUGUUUGACUUGUUAAAAGUGUUUUAAAGUGACUUUUGGAACCCCUAUGUACCCUAGUUUGGUUAUAUGUUAUUUCCCUAAAGUUUGAAUGGUUUUGGAAUGUUUUUGGGUGAAAAAUGUUCAUGGAAAUUUUUUUGAGUUUUUCAUGAAUGUUCUUCAUUGUUCUUGACAUUUUUGCCAAGAACAAAAAGUUUUGUGUGUUUUGAUUCAAAGUUUUGAUUUAUUUCAUAAAGUUUUAUGUUUUAUGAUUUUCAAAUGUUUAAAUGUUUUAGAUAUUUGUUUAAAAUGGGUGAUAAGAGAUAUUGGUGGGUGUGUAAGGAUUAAUUUCCUUUUACACACACCACUUGCACCACUUGAUUGCUUUAUGUCAAAACUCACAAAUCAACACACACAUCACUCCAUUUCUUCCCAAAACCGGCCACCCCCUAGUGGGGGUACUUUUGGGGCUUUUAUGCAAUUACAUAAAGUUUUGAUACUUUUGUGUAUUUGCACUUUGGCCCAAAAGUUUACGUUUUUACGUUUAGGUCCAAAAACGCUAAAGGACAAAUUGUUUUGCUCCUUUAAUGAAGUUUUUGCAUUGUUUAAAUUUUGGGUUCUAGUUGUAAUUACAUGAAGUAGUGGACUUUUGUGUUCUUUACAAAGUGACCCCAAAAGUUUAUGUUUUUGCAAUAUUGCCCAAAGGUUGUGGUUAAUUGCAUUUUGGCCCCAAAUUAGGUAGAGAACAAAAUUGUUUUGUCUCUUUAAAUGAGAAUUGGAUUUUCAUUUCAUUUAGCUCCAUUUAAAUCAAUUUUAUGGAUACAAAAACCAAAUGAAAAUGUUGCAUUCAAUUUAAUUAGUUAAAGUGUUAAUUAAUUAAAGGGUGAUUAUGAACCUAAGCCUAAUAUAAUUGAGCUAUGUGAAAGGCCGUUUCAAAUUUGUUUGAACCAUGGGAAUGUGUAGAUUAGAUUUUGGUUGUAAUUUGAUUUGAUCAAAUGUUGUAAAAGGGCAUAAGCUCUUCUUUACUUUAAAGGUAAUUUGUUUUAUGCAAAUGUUGUAAUGAGCAUAAGCUCACCUUUACUUUGAAGUACUUCUUUCUUGCUUUAUUUGAUAUGCAUGAAAAUGAAGUAGUUGGGUCCAACGCCCCUAAGACAACACGCCUUAAUGUGAUUAAACGCGUAACUAAAAUCAAUCACCAUCCCUAGACCGAGAUUCAACACAAGGCUCGUGUUGAAUCUAAACAAAGGUUCAUAGUCAUCCUAAGGCCCUAAGGCAACUAUAUAGUCCAUCAAUGAAUGCAAACCUUAUGUUAGUAGUAUCAUAUACUCUUGCUUUAAAAACCGUUUUAUAAGCAUAGUGGGAGUAUUAUAUAUACAACUAAAACAAUCAAAAUGGACCAAUAGUUGUAAUAGGACCAAAAUUGUUUUAAAAUAGAGAUUAAAAUGAAUGUUUAUAUGUGAUGAGACCUAAAAACCCUCAACCAAACCAUUAUUAAGUUGAUAAGCGUGAGAGUGCUUUGAACACUCUUUCGUGGCCUUCCACCGUGGUAGGCUCCAAUCGUUUAUGACUUGUACACCGGCUUCACCCUAUCAUGGGGGAGUGCAAAGUGCAUGCUUAUACUCAGGAGGAGUCCUAUAUACAUACUUGAUGAGGUGAGUGUAGGCAACGAGGAUGGCCAAUAUCAUAUCAUUGUGAGGCUAUUCUUGAACCCCUUCAUGAACUAAGCAUGGUGGGAAUGACUUAACUAAGUGCAAUGGAGCCAAUAUCAUAUCAUUGUGAGGUUACAUUCUCUAGAGGCCAAAUAAGAUGGGUACUUGCAAGAGAUUGCAAAUGAGUAAGCGUACUCUCUCAUUAUUAUUAAUGCUAGCCAAUAUCAUAUCAUUGUGAGGUGGGCUUGGUAGUAGUGAGUCUCCCAUACCCUACUAAGAGUUUCAUCCAAAACUCUCGAAUUCCAAUGAGGGAUAUGGAAUUUGCCAAAAAUAGUGGGUGGUGCUAUUUGAUUUAAAGACCCGAAUCAAAUGGCUUAAAAUCAAUCAAUUUAUAUUCGUUAUGUAUUUGUUUACCAAUAUAUUUGCAAACGCUAUCCAACACUUGACAAAUAAAAGCCGAAAGCUUUAGUUUCCGGACUUGGUACUACAAAACCAUAGAUUGUCUUUAAUGGCUUGUAAAUGUACCUAAGUAGUCUCAUCCUCACAAUCUUCCUAUUGAUAAUGUAUCAUUAGAAGAAUAUGUUAGAAAAUGUCUAUCAUAAAGAGGACAACACCUUUAUGUGCCAUGAUUCUUCACUUACAAAUUGUUGUAUGAAGAAAUAAGAGUUGCUUUGAACAACCCUUAAUCAAUGCAAACAUUAGUGCUUGUUUCUUUGUUACAUGAACAAGGAACUUUAGAAGUAAAGCACAAAGGGCAUGGACACUUUAUGUGCCAUGAUUCUUCACUUACAAAUUGUUGUAUGAAGAAAUGAGAGUUGCCUUGAACAACUCUUGAAAGUUUGUAAUUAUGUUUAGAACAUAAUGGUUGGUUGACAAAAAUAGUCCAUCAACAUGGACUUAUGAUGAUUUUGAAUCAUUGAGUGUUGAAGUGAUAAACCACUUAACGAGACGGAAACUAGGCAAGGACUUCACCUUUGUUUCCCUAUCCUUAUAGUUCACUAAGUUUAUUGUAAACUAUGUAGUGAACAAUAAACAACAUGCUCUCCAAAAUGUUUGAUGUGUAUAACACAAUUGAAAUAAGUUUCAAGAGAGAUAGUGGGAGUUUAGGGACCAUGACUAAUGUAGUCAAAGGUGAAAGUCAAAUGAAGAAGAUAAGAAUUAACUCCAAGGGAACAAACUUUCUUUAUGAAAGGAUGGACAUUGGAAGGGGUAUUUGCAAGAAAUGUCUUGCAAGUGUCAAGACACACCUUUCGAAGGUGUUGUAAAUUGUUCUUGAAAAGUUCAAAACAGUUGGUUCUUCUACUUGAAUGCUUGAUUCCGUAUUAGUAACUAUGUUUUACAAUCGUUGUAAAAGUGUGACUAAUAAGAAGUAGAAGAUAUAUGAGAGAAAGAAAAGGUGCUUCACAUUCGGAACGUGAAUAAAAUAUAGAUCUCUGCGAAAGCAGAUAGUACUUACUUCCUCAUAUGAACUACCAAAGAAAUUGGAAAAACCAAAGAUUGUCUUUACAUUCCAAUUUUAAGGAACUUAAUUCCGUCACUAUAGUAGAGAUGGAUAAAUGCUUUGUUUGACAAAACAUUGUUCUUUAUUAAUCAAUGAUUGGAUUAUAGUAAUCUAAUUGAUUGUCUCUAUAGUAGAGAUGAUAUGGUAGUGUUAACUGUUUAGAAUACAAUGAUGCUUAAAACCCAAAAGGUUGCAAGGUAGUGACUAAUCCCAACUAAGUUGUGAUACCUCUAAAAACAUAAGUUACGAGUUGGUGAAAGAUGGAUGCUUUGGAUCGUUAGAUCCGGAUCCAAUACCUUCUUGUUAAAAUUGUAUAUAGAGGCGAAAUGUUCGAAUCUUUAUUCUUUUGGAAAGAAGAAAGAAUCACAAAGUUGUUGAGGUUAAUUCACUUAGAUGUUAGUGGCACUUGUCCACAACAUAAUACUACUCAUGUUAUAUGACAUUCACCGAAGAUCACUCUCGGUUGGACUAUAGUUUAUUUUGAAUAAACACAAGUCCGAAUACUUUGCAAAAGGUUUCAAAGAAUUCAAGAAAUGUAAGUUGAUGAGUAAGACGUCUAAAGUAUUUACCUCCUUAGAUUUGAUCCAAGGAAAAGUAACACUUUAGAUGAGUUUCCUUGAAAGAUAUCAAGGAAAGAAGCAUCAUAAGAUAAUGAAUUUCUCCAUUAGGAGAAGAACGAACUUGAAUAAGAUUUAGUUCGGUGGAUGUUAUCUUUUACCCAUAUAUAGGAUAUAUACUUCUAAAACAAUAUGAUUGUAAAUUAGAAGAUCUUUCCAAAAAAUUUCAUGACUCCAUAAGAUGUAGUUGGAAAGAAAGACAAAUCUUAAGCAUGUUAAGAUUUGGGGUUGUGUGCUAAUAAGCAAUAUUUGUGUUUGAUAACAAUCUUGUGGGAUAUCCUUAAAUUAACUUUUGGAUAUCGCUUCUAUAAACCAACUAACAAAUGUUGUUUUGUUGGGUAGUUCAUUGUAAUCCUACAAUGUGAUUUGCCUAAGAGCAAAUGAUGAACGAGAGAUAGAACUCAAAGAAUGGGUUCUUUGAGAGACAAGAUAAUAAUCAACAAAUAUAACACCUAGUUCCUAUACCAAAAGCUCCAAGGUAGUCGAGAAGGAUUUAUAAAACCGUCUCAGUUGAAUGGUUUGAACUUUAUGACUAUGUCAUAGAGUUGCACCUCUUAAUUCGAAAGAAAUAAGAAUGAAAAUCCUUAUGACUACAUUGAGUGUGUAUAUAUGAUAUAUACUCAAGGAAAUGGUAAAGUACCAUUUGACCCGAAAUAAUGAAACCUUCAUAAGCUAAUUGGUAGCUUAAGGUGACUAUAAUCAAAGAGAAUGGUUGACUUUGAAGAAACCAUCUUUGACGAUAGUCUUGGUUUCAAUUAAUUCAAAGAUUGCUAGCUACAACUAAAUGGUGAUUCAAUGUUUGGACAUAAUAUGGGUUUCCGAAACCAUUAUUAAGAUAGUCUUGAUAAUAUAUGUCUAAAACUAUGAAUCACAAGACAUGUAAGUUGUAGAGAUCCAUCCAUCAUGGAUCUUAGCAAGCUAGUGGGAGCUAUAUGCAUCUUAUGAGAGAAAGAUCAAAUCGUUUGAUUUCUCAUAAAAAAUGUAAAUGAAUCUUUUAUUUACUAGGUUUACAAAAGAUUAGUGGGAGUUAAUCAUGUUCCUAAAAUUUAAAUAUAUAUGAUAUAUUAAUUUUGGAAAUGAAAAGAAUACUUCUUCGUUAAAGUUAUGACUUUAAAACAUUAUAUGAAGAUAGAAUGUAUAUGGGAGUUAAUCAUGUUCCUAAAAUAUAAAUAUAUAUAUGAUAUAUUAAUUUUGGAAAUGAAAAGAAUACUUCUUCAUUAAAGUUAUGACUUUAAGCAUUCUAUAACGAUAGAAUGUAUAUAGGAGACAUAGUCUAUAAACAUGGGAUGGAAAUCUAUAAUGAUAGAUUUUAGGAUAUAAUUGGAUUAUAUCAAGCCCUAAAUAAUAGACAAGAGAUGCUAGGAAGUUUCUCAUAUGAUGAUAAACUUCAAUCAAAUGGACAACUCUAGUAAGACUAAGAAGUUGCUCUUCUCAAAAAGAACGUACUCUUUGACUCCCAAAGAAAUAAUGCGUAAAUAGAAUCCUUUAUGCAUACGCAGAAAGGUGAUUUAUGUAUUUCAUAUUGUAUGAAAAACAUUGAUAUGAGUUGUACCUAGAACAGGUACAAGAUGAUGUCAGUGCAAGCCCAGGAUCAGAACCAUGGCAACUGUCAAGUGAAUCCUUAAGUAUUUAAGAAAUACUAAAGGAUAAAUUCCUCAAAGAUCGAGGAAGAAUUAGAGUAACGUAAUGGAAGCGUAAAUGUAUUAGAUUGUGAAUCUAAUCCAUCAUUAGAUGUUUCUUCAUUAUGAAUGAAGAGAUAAACAUAUAUCUCUUUAUUAUGACUAAAGAGAUAUUUGGAUGGAAACAUUAAAGUAAUGACUUUAGUGUGUUCCAUUAUGAAUGCAAAAUAUAUUGCCAUAUAGAAGUUUACAACAAUGUUGUUUGGAUGGGAAAGUUCAUUUAUGAACUCUCUAUUCGGUUCCAACCAGAAAGUGUAUGACACUAAUGGGGCGAUAGCUCAAGCCAGGGAAUCAAGGUCUCAUCAAGGUCCGAACUCAAAUGAGAGACUGAACCACAUGAUUGAGAAUCAUGUAUAAUGGUGACGUCGUUAUUCUCAAGGUUGCUUAUAUGGAUAACAUACAGAUAUCCAUGGUCUAGGCCUACUACUCAGCCAUUUAUGAAAUGACUACAGAAGAGGUAUCAUCACUGAUGAACAAGCUGAUUGGCUCUAGUGCAAGUGGGAGAUUGUUGGAAAUGUGCCCUAAAACCAAUCAUGUGAUGAUACUUUACGGACAUUUCACAUGUUAAACUAAUCUAGUUUAAAUAUAAAGGGCAAAGAUUAUUGUUUGAGCCGUCUCAUAUAAAUGUUAUAUGCUUAAACGAUAAGUCCAAGGAAUAUGUGAUUGGAAGAAUACGAUCUAAAGAAGUUAGAUUCAUGAGACCAUUCUUUCGUAGACACAUCCUAAACGUUCCUAAUCAUAGGAUUACCAAUUGGGCAUUGAUAGUCCGUUAAGAUCAGUACGUCCUGUGUUUUCUCUCAGGGAAAGUGACUAGUCUCGAGUCAUUGGUGUGUGUGACAUCAAGACAAGUACGUAGGUGCUCAAUAAAGAAUGAGUUCACUGAACACGAUCAACGAAGAGUUCUCAUAUUCAUGUCACAUGAGAACUCAUGGUUGGGAUAAUGCAAAGUAGUCAUUUGACUUGAGGCAUCACAGUUGUCUUAUGGUUAAGUCCUUGAUCUUUGAUUAUGUCAAAGUCACCCCAUCGGGGUGUCCACGGCAUCGUUGGGGUUAAGCCACUUAGCCAUGGAGACAAGUGAAUGCGCAACAAGGGAUCUCUAACCUUCAAACCGUUUGAGGGAGAAUACUCCAUGAUAUGAUUUAGAAUCUCUGGCGCCAGAGUAUGAAUGAGAUUUAGGAAGUCGUUCCAAAUCACAUUCAAGGUAAUCAUAUAAGCACACGAAUCACAUUGGAUAGUAGACAUGAAUAAAUAAACUAUCAAACCAAACAAUGUGGUCAAGAGUAUUGUAUUAGAGAAAGACCGUAUUGCAUUUGUAGUCCUAAACUGAAUAGGUUCUCCACCUCUUCUGAUUAGCUUGGGUAACCAUGAUAUGCUGCUAGGUGUCACUCAUGGUUUGUGGAAGCCCUAUACGUGUAUAAUCACUAAAGGGAGAAUUGAAAGUAAGUUUCAAUUCACAAUCGAUGUGAAAUGGUUUUAAUCGCCCACUGCCUCGCUAAAAGGAACCUAAUGGAUCGUACACCGUGUAAGGUGGAGAUUGAAGAAACAAUCGAAAUGAGUAAGAAUAAUUAAAUGGUUUAAUUAUUUAUGGCAAGGAUUAAUUAAUAUGUUAAUUAAUCAAACGAAUAAGUUCGUUAAAGACCUCGGGAUAGUUUUGGACCUUAAGGCCCAAUGGGCUUCGAACGUCAAGCCCAUUGACUUAAGUUGUAUGACAACUUAAUGAAUAAUGAUUCACAAAGGCCCAAUUAGCCCAAUAAUAUCCCAAUGGCCGGCCAUUUAGUUUUGGAGUGGGUUUUGGACUUAUUUACAAGUUUGCCACUCUAAUGAAUUAAGGUAUAAAUAUGACUUUAUAGCCAAAAUUCAAAAAGGGUUUUUCUUUUGGAGAAAAUUGGUGAGAACUUGUCUCUCCUUUUCUCUCUAAAGAGGCCGGCCCUUUGGAGGGUGUAUCUAGCCAUACUAACUACUCCAAGGUCACUCAUUUCUUCUCCAAUCUAACCUUGGUGAAGAUACUUAGAGGUUCUCAAUUUUGGGAACUUGGAGAAACCUUUUCAUCCAUCCAAAUCCAUAGAUUUUAGAUGCAAGGAAUGAAGGCCCUCUCUUUGGGUGAUUAGCCUUUACUUAUGCAAAGAGGAAUCUACAAAUGUAUGGUUUCAACUCACUUUGUUUUGAGUUGAGUUUUGGUUCACAAAUCUACUAGGCUUUGAAUUUCAUGGGUAAUGUUUUGUUUUUGAGUGCAUGCAAGCAUGAUUCCGCCUUUCAUUGUUAAUUGCAUGCUAUAUGAUGUUGCUCAAAUGAACAUGUUUUCACAAAAUCUUACUUCAUAAGCAUUUCAAUAAGAGCCCGUCUAGAGUCUUUCUUAGUAAGGUCUUAUCGUACAUAGAAAACUUAGUUUCUUGGUGCCUAAUCUUCUUACUCAUAGGGGAAGAAUAGUCUUUUAAGUAUUGAAUGAUGGAGGUUCUCUAGUCCUCUAUCAUAGGUUCUUUGGUCAUUAUAUCCAGGCUGAACCCUCUCUCAAAUAUAGAAGCGAGAUUUCUUCUUUGUACUUCUACAUUCACAUGUGCCAUCUCAUUGGCCAUCUGUGCUCCAGAAGCCAUAUGUGCCAUCUUAUUGGCAGUUAAAUUUGCUUCUCUAGGGACAUGAUUGAUUAAUACUUGAUUACCCCAAUAGUUUAGCAACUGAGUAGUUGCCAAAUAUUAACUUACCAUUGUGAGAUGUCUAUAUUUGUACUCUCCAUUCAACUGAUUAAUCACCAACUCAGAAUCCCCAUAUUUUUCGACCUUAUUUACUCCUAACUCUAUCAGGAUUUCUAAGCCAAUAAUCAAUGCCUCGUACUCUGCCUUGUUGUUGGUAACCCAGAAGGAAUGAGUAGCAAUUUUGAAUUCCCUUUGGAUCAAUGAUGACAAUCCUAACUUUUGCAACAUGUUGAAUGCAAGACCCAUCAAAAUAUAACUUCCAGGGAAUGAUCGAUAGGCUAGUUAUUCUCUUUACUUCUUGAUGGAUCAAUUCUUCUCUGCUCGAAUGACCUUUACUUAGUAGGAUCCAAAGGCUAGCCACUUCCAGAGUCCCAGUGAUGUUGACAAGUUCUUCUUUGGAGUCUUGGUGCUCAUAAAGGAAGUUUGCAAUUGCUUGCCCCUUUAUUGGUCUCUGAGGUACAUACUGAAAACUGAACUCUAGUAAUGCUAGAAUCCACUUCCCAAUUCUUCCAGUUAGCAUUGGCUUAGACAGCAUGUAUUUAAUCACAUCAGUCUUGGAAAUUAUAUGGAUAUGGCAAGGCAACAUGUAAUACCUCAAUUUGCAGGUAGUGAAGUAUAAAGCUAAACAUAGCUUCUCAACUGGGUUAUAUCUUGUUUCUACCUCAAUAAGGAUCUUACUGAGGUAGUAUAUUCUUGCUCCUUCCCUCUUCAUUGUUUUGACCCAAUAAACUUCCUGUUGAUUUCUCAGAUGUAAAGAUGUAGAGUCUCAAUAAGGAUCUUACAAGGGCAUGAGCACUGCUGGAGAGGUUAGACAAGAUUUUACUCUGUCAAAAGCUUUUUAGUGUUGUGGACCCCACUCAAACUUAUCUUGAUUAAUAAAGGAGUCAACGGUUCGAUCUUGCUAGCCAAAUUAGCAAAGAAUCUCCUUUAAAAGUUGAUAUUCCCCAAUAGCCCUUGUAAUUGCACUUUGUUGGUGAUGGAAUGUGACUCCAUUAUAGCCCGAGCUUUGUUCUUGUCUAUCUCCACACCUCUCUGAUGAACUAGGAAUCCUAAAAAGUUGCCCUAUCUAACCCCAAAGACACAUUUCUUAGGAUUCAUCUUUAACUUAUGAGUCAUCAUUCUUACUAAGGCUUGUCUGAGUUCUUCUAAGUGUUGCUCUUCAAUUUUUUACUUCACCACGAUGUCAUCAAUGUAUACCUCCAUGCUAUUCCCGAUUUGAUCAUGAAAAAUAGCAUUCAUUGCCCUUUGGUAUGUAGCACUAGCAUUUUUUAGCCCGAAUGGCAUAACUACAUAUUCAUAUGCUCCUACAUGUCUUGGGCAUCUAAAUGUUGUUUUACGUAUGUCUUCUUUAGCCAUUUUUAUUUGAUUAUAUCCAACAUUCCCAUCCAUAAAAUAUAGAACUUCAUGUUUUGCAGCUGCAUCUAUGGACAGGUCAGCCUUAGGCAUGGGGUACUCAUCUUUAGGCGUGGCUUCAUUAAUGUUUCUAUAGUCGACACAACAUCGAAUGGUGUUAGUUACAGCUUUUCAUACAAGUAUAAUGUUGGCCAACCACUUAGCAUACUUUGCAACCCUAAUAAAUUCUACAUUUACCAGCCUCUCAAUCUCUUUCUUGACUUUCUCUUCUAUUUCCUUCGACAUUAUUCUUGGUGCUUGCUUCACAGGUCUGUACCUCUCUUUGAUAGGCAUUCUAUGCUCCACUAAGCUGGGGUCCAAUCCAGGCAUCUCCGUGUAAUACCAUGCAAAAUAGUAUUUGGAUUCAUGCAAAAGGUCAACUAUUUUUGCCCGAUCUUCAGCCUCCAAGAAGCCACUGAUUUUAUAUUGGCCUUGGAUCCUCCUCUGUCCCUAAAUUAAUGGUUUCCAAAGGGUUUUGUACUUCUGGUGCUAGUUUAUCAGGCUCUGUACAUAAAAAUUCUACUGACUUUGGGGCGUAGGGCUCAUCUCCUAGCCAGUCCAAAUGAUAUAUACAUUCUGCCAUAUGAAUGGAUGCUUCCACCUAUUCUUCCAAAAUUGUUUUCUCUUCUCUAUCUUUGGUGCCCGAAGUUUCUUCUCCCCAUUCUGUCAUCUCAUUGGCUGAACUCUCUUUAAUCUAUCUUUUUUCUCUCUCAUAUUCCAACAAUCUUUUGAUUAAGGACCUGACUGCAAUCACUUGGUCUUUCCUCUUCUGAUCUAUCAUCAUUGGUGUUGGUGAGCUGGGACAAUAGAAGGCAUGUCCAAUUCCUCAUUGGUGAGAGAAAGUCCUUGCUCUAAGAGCUUAUAGGCUGUCACCUUGGUAGGGUGGUCGUUCUUAUUAGCACCUAAGCAUUUUAAGAUCCCAACAUUAGGAUUGUAAAAAUUUACUUCUGCAACAUUGGCUGUGGGGAGAAAUGCCCAUGAUUCGGCCUCCACUAUUUCCCAAAAUCCUUACUCCUUAAUUAUGGCCUCAUGGUAGACAACAACUUGUUGGUGUAAAGUAGAUGGUACAAACAGACUUUGGUGGAUCCAAUUUCUCCCUAUCAAUGCCCCAUAAGUAAAGUUGUUGUCCACCACAAAGAAUGCCAACAUCAUUUUCUUGAAUCCCAAGUCUACCUCUAAAGGUAAUAUCCUAUAGGUUUUGGUAAUGUCCCUAGAAAAACUAGAGAUUGUAAGAUCAGUAGGAAUAAAAUCUUCCUCACUUCUGCAAUGCCUCCUCAUCUGUUUGAGUGGGAGCACAUUAAUUACUGCCUCACCAUCUAUCAGCACCCCUUUUAAGGGGAUUCCCUCAUAAUGAGCUAUCACAUAUAUAAGCUUCAGAUUGUUUGCUAAAGCUAGACUUGGCUUACUAAACACCAUUUUGUCAUAAUAAACCCUAUCAGUCUCUUUUCGUGUAGGGUCCAACAAAUCUGCCAAGCUUGAUCCUUCUUUCCAACUUCCUCAAUGUUCACAAGUGCCAUCAUUAGUUCUGGUCCCAAAUACUCACCUUCCAUUGCUGUGAGCUGAUCUGGUUCUGCAAGAACAUGGCUGAUAAGACAUAGGUCAUGUUUACAUGGAAGUUGCUGAGCCCUAGUACUUCCUCUUUCUUAUUUCCAAUUUAACACAUAAAUUAAUCUAUCCAGGUAUGGGCAUCUUUAGUUAACAUCAACUCAGGCACUUCAUCCUUUUCUACUAUACCAAAGUUAUGCAACUAUUUUGGGAUUUCGCAAGGAACAUCCUCCAAUAGAGGUCAAGAUAUCGCUCUCUCAGGGGAGAUGGUCCCAAAACAGAUAGGCUCUGGAUUACAGCAUGGUGUAGGCAUCAUCACCACACUUUCUUAAGCUCUUCUCAAUAUUAUGCACUUCCCUAGAUGUGGGUUUUGAGGUACAUGAUCUCUUUUACCCUCAACUUUACUAUUAUCUCUCUCUAUCUCUCCUCUUACUUCUCUAUUGGGGUCGUCUUCUUCCUCCUUGUGUGACCUCCUUAAACUUAACAUUUCCAAAAGCUUCUAAAAUGGUAGGGAUUUUUAAUGAGUUCAUAUGGGCCUUAUGCUGCCUUUGAACCCUCAUUAUCAUAGAUGCUCCCAUCUCUCUAAUAGGUCUCCCAUCUUUACCUACUACGUACCACUUUCGGCCAAGUCGAGCUAAAUCUCUCUUAGUAACUAAGGAAAUUUGAUUCAUGGUUCUCUCUUGCCAUCCUUAUCUCACACUAUUAUGAUAAAUUAGCUGGGGAGGUUUCACAUCCACCUACCUAGGCAUUUUGGCUUCCUUAUCUUCAGGUUCUUCAGAAGCCUCAUAGUUUCUGAACACCUCAGAUAGGCCCUUAGGUUCUGAAUCUCCUCCCAAUCUCUAGAACACAUUCUUGGAGGUUUCCUUUUUUGCUCCUCUAUCUCUCUUCUUUUUACUAACUCCUUAAUCAAUAAUGGCACUCGAUGUUGGUACCUCGAGUUCACAUUCACACUGAUAUGUACUGCAUAACACCACUACAUUGACCACAGCUGCUUGAGGUCUAUCAUGCAACUUUCUAAGACCUUUUGAUGGCCUAACAGCUUGCCUUUUUUCUCCCCUCUCAUCCCAAGUAGACUUUGAUUUUCCUUUCUGAACCCAAUUAAGGUUGAUUAUGUUGAUUGGGGCUUUUAGGAAUGGAUAUGUGUCAAUCAUCAUGCUGGCUUGGGGUUUUUCCAAUAACAAUUUUCCCUUGACUUUGAGAUCUUGGAUUCAAUCUCUAAACUGCACAUAAUUAGCUAUGAAGUGAUUGAAGGUGUAGUGAAGUUUGCAGUAAUUCUUGCCUCUAAGCUCUUCGAGCCUAGGUAUCUUCUUGGUGUUGUCUAGCAAGAUUACUCUAGCCAUCACUAGCUCUUCAUAGGUAUCCACUCCCCUGGUUAAAUCAAAGGAAUGGGCCUGGUACAUUGGGGACUUCAUAGGCACAAAACCUCUAUCAUUCAUCAUGAUUUUUUGGUCUUUGAUAGGCUAUACCAAUCCAUUCACCAUUAAAGGUUUGAAAGGAGUGGUCAUCUCCAUAGCACAUAACUCAAUCCCUUCUCCCAAACUGCUAUCAUUUUCUCCUGACUCUAGGCCUUCAAACUCUAACUGGUGUAUUGGGGCUUUGUUCUUAUAGAAAUGAGGCACUUUAGAUGAGUGUUUCACCUAUUGUUCUUCUGUCAGCAACUUCUCAUACUUAGUAGCUGUAUUUACCAACUCUUGAAGCUCAUUAAAUUGUACAUCAUAGCCUUAGAGCCUUCUGGGCAAUGGCUAUGAGCUGAGCAUGGUUGAUUGGGAACUGGCACCUCACCUUGGUUCUCCUGAACCUCAUUAUGAAAUCCUCUGUAGACUUAUGCUUAUACUACUUUACCUCUACCAAAUCAUUGAUGGUCAUCUCUGGCUUCACCCUAUAAAACUACACAUGGAAGGCCAUCUCCAUUUGCCCCCAGUUGGCAAUGGAAUUAAGGGGUAACAAAGAAUACCACUAGGAGGCCAAGCCUACCAAUGAAUUUCCAAACAAUCUCAACUUGUAGUUAGGGUUGUCUUUGAAUACCACACUGUAGUUUGAAAACUUGAAAAUGUGGUCUCUGGAAGACGCAUUAUAGUUUUCCCCACUGAAGGUUGGGAAUGCGGGCAUCUUGAAGUUGAGAAGGAAAGGAUUAUGCUCAUCAAUGUACUUAGAAUAAAGCUUAUGGUAUGUUGUCCUGAACAUUAGGCGAGCUUGUGGCUGAGCAUUCUAGACCAUCAUCCUUCUUAGUUCUGCUAACUCAUUUCGGGUGUAAGAAGUUCCCCACUUCGGGCUACAAUCGAUGCCCGAGAAAGCUUCCUUUAUGGUUCAAGCUGCCUCUACCUAGCUUCUCCUCCCUUAUUAACCAAUGGUGCUGGCAUUACUCACAGCUAUAGGUAAACCUUUUCCGCCUGUCUAUCCCACUUGAUUAGUCGUCUCAAACUUCAUUCCUUCUUACUCGUUUUGCCUUCUACCAUCUAGUGGGAAUGGUAAAGGGUUGGCAAACUUGUCUCUUGGAUCUCUUUUUCAUCAGGUUAGCUGGUUCCAGCCUCUUCCUUCCUUUUCCUCUUAUCCUUCUUUUUUUCAAGUAAGGGGGACAAAGGAAUCACUGGUCCUUUCGUUGGACUUCUUUCUUUGGUUAGUUUCAUGGCAUAGCCAUCCCUUGGUGUCGAGUAUUCUGACUCCAGCUUUCUCUGUAGAGUUCCUGUUAGGGUACAGAGUCUGCUUACUGUUGGAAAUGUGCCCUAAAACCAAUCAUAUGAUGAUACUUUAUAGACAUUUCACAUGUUAAACUAAUCUAAUUUAAUAUAAAGGGCAAAGAUUAUUGUUUUAAGUUAUCUGAUAUAAAUGUUAUAUGCUUAAAUGAUAAGUCCAAGGAAUAUGUCAUUGGGAGAAUGUGAUAUAAAGAAGUUAGAUCCAAGAGACCAUUCUUUUUCUUAUACAUAUCUUAAAUGUUCCUGAUCAUAGGAUUGCCAAUUAGGCAUUAAUAGUCUGUUAAGAUCUGAUGUAUGAAAUAUGUCUUCUCCUAGGGAGAAUAACUGGUCUCGAGUUAUUUGUGUGACCGACACCAAGACAAGCAUGUAAGUGCUCAAUUGAGAAUGAGUACAUUGAACACGAUCAACGAGGAGUUCUCAUACUCAUGUCAAAUGAGAACUCAUGGUUGGGAUAAUGCAAAGUAGUCUUUUAACCUGAGGCAUCAUAGUUAUCUUGUGGUUAGGUCCUUGAUCUUUGACUAUGUCAAAAUCACUCCAUCAUAGGGUGUCCACAAUAUAGUUGGGGUUAAGCCACAUAGCAACGGAGGCAAGUCAAUGCGCAAUAAAGGCUGCCUUCAAACCGUUUGAGGCAGAAUAUUCUAUGAUAUGAUUAAAAAUCUCUGGCCAGAAUAUAAAUAAGAUUUAGGAAGUCGUUCCAAAUUACAUUCAAGGUAAUCAUAUAAGUAAAAAAUCACAUUGGAUAGUAGACAUGAAUAAACUAUCAAACUAAACAAUGUGGUCAAGAGUAUUGUAUUAAAGAAAGACCGUAUUGCAUUGUAAUCCUAAACUGAAUAGGUUCUCCACCUCUUCUAAUUAUCUUGGAUAGCCAUGACAUACUGCUAGGUGUCACUCAUGGUUUGUGGAAGCCCAAAAGGUGAGUAAUCACUAAAGGGAGAAUUGAAAGUAAGUUUCAAUUCACAAUCGAUUUGAAAAGUUCUAAUCGCCCAUUGCCUCGCUAAAAGGAACCUAAUGGAUCGUACACCGAGUAAAGUAGAGAUUGAAGAAACAACGGAGAUGAGUAAGGAUAAUUAAAUGGUUUAAUUAUUUAUAGCUAGGAUUAAUUAAUAUGUUAAUUAAUCAAACAAAUAUGUUCAUUAAAGACCUCGGGUUAGUUUUGGGAAUGGGAUUUGAAUGUCAAGCCCUUUAACUCAAGUUGUAUGACAACUUGAAAACAAAAGGGGCUUGAAAGCCCAAUGAACCCUUAAUGGCCGGCCAUAUAGAGAGGGAUAGUGAACUUGCCUUAAUUGCAAGUUUGUCACUCCAUUGUGAGGUGGUAUAAAGGCAACUUUAUAGCCAUUUCAUCCUUAGGGUUUCUUUGGAGAAAAGAUGAGAACACAAUGCUCUCUUUUUGUCUCUAAGAGGCCGGCCACCCUAGAGGAAAUUAGCUAGCAAUCUUACUUCCUCUAGGUCACUCAUCUCUUCAUCAAUGCUCUCCUUGGUGUGGAGACUUAGAGGUUCUCUAUUUUGGGAACUUGGAGAAUCCAUUCUACCAUCCUCAUCCAAGAAAUCCAUGAAGCUAAGAAAUAAGGAAUGAAGGCCCUAUCUUUUGGGUGAUUAGCCUUUGCUUAUGCAAAGAGGAAUCAACAAAGGUAUAAUAUUUCUCAACUCACUCUGUUCUUGAGUUGAGUCUUGGUUCACCACUCACUAGGCCUUCAAUUUCAUGGUAAAGUUUUGUUUUUGAGUGCAUACAAGCAUGAUUCCGCCUUUUAAUUGUUAAUUGCAUGCAUAGAUGUUGCUCAAAUGAACUAGUUUUCACAAAUAUUUCCUUCAAGUGGUAUCAGAGCCUAGGUCUAGCAGUUGGUGAAUCCUUUUGGGUUUUGUUCAUAGUCUUUGAUUUGAAUGUUGUAAUGGUUACAAGUUUUAUUCUUGCUUCUUUGAAUGUAAAUUUUGUUAGAAAAUUUGCCAUUUCAAAUGUUGUAGAUGUAGUUCAUAUGAGCAUGAAUUUUGGAGCUAAAAUUUGGUGCCAUGUUUUUUGGGAAAUUCGGCCAAAUCCAAAAGGCAGAUUUUUGGGUUCAUGAUUGUCUUGUUAAAAGUGUUUUAAAGUGACUUUUGGAACCCCUAAGUACCCUAGUAUGGUAAUAUGUUAUUUCCCUUAAGUUUGAGAGUUUUUUGGGUGUCUUUGGGUGAAAAAUGUUCAUAGAGCUCUUAUGGGUUUUCAUGGAUGUUCUUCAUUGUUCUUGUUAUGUUCUUGGCAAGAACUAAAAGGUUGGAGCUUUAGAUUCAAUGUGUUUGUUGUUUUUCAUAAAGUUUUGGUUUGUUAUUGAUUGGUGAUGGAUGAUUGGUGAUAGAUGAUUUGUGUUUUAUUAUUUGAUAAAUGCUACACUUUACCUAUAUCUUACAACCCAUACCAAUCAAACUUUUCAACCAUACCAAUCAACUUUUUAACCCAUACCUUUCACUUAUUCAACACUCUUUAAGAUUUUGAAUUUUUCAACAAAAACCAACCCCCACUCUCACUACCAAAACUGGCCAACCCUACAAGUAGGGUACUUUUAGGGUUUUUAUGCAAUUACAUAAAGUUUUAAUACUUUUGUGUAUUUGUGCUUUGACCCAAAAGUUUACAUUUUUACGUAAAGGCCCAAAAUCACUUAAGGACAAAUUGUUUUGCUCCUUUAAUGAAGUUUUUGUAUUUGUUCAAAUUUUUGGGUUCUAGUUGUAAUUAAAUGAAGUAGUGGACUUUUGUGUUUUUACAAAGUGAUCUCAAAAGUUUAUGUUUUGCAAUAUAGCCCAAAAAAUUGAGGUUAUUGCAUUUGGCCGAAAUAGUUGAGAACAAAAUAGUUUUGUAUCUUUAAACGAGAAAUGGAUUUUCAUUUCAUUUAGAUACAAAAACCAAAUGACAAUAUUGCGUUCAAGUUUUAUUAGUUAAAGCGUUAAUAAAUUAAAGGGUGAUUAUGAACCUAUGCCUACGAUAAUUGAGUUAUGUGAAAGGUCGUCUCUCAAAUUUGUUUGAACCAUGGGAAUGUGUAGAUUAGAUUUUGGUUGUAAUUUGAUAUGAUCAAAUGUUGUAAAAGAGCAUAAGAUCUUCUUUACUUUAAAGUAAUUUGCUUUGAUCAAAUGUUGUAAAAGAUCAUAAGCUCUUCUUUACUUUGAAGUACUCCUCUCUUGUUUUAUUUGAUAUGCAUGAAAUUGGAGUAGUAGGGUCCAAUGCCCAAUAAGAAAACAUCCCUUAAUAUUAUUAAAUGUGUACCUAAAAUCAAUCACUAUCCCUAGACCGAGAUCCAUCACUAGGCUCGUGUUGGAUGGAAUCAAAGGUUCAUAGUCGUCCUAAGGCCUUAAGGCAACUAUAUAGUCCAUCAAUGAAUGCAAAGCUUAUGUUAGUAGUAUAUUCUUGCUUUAAAAACCGUUUUACAAGCAUAGUGGGAGUAUUAUAUACUACUAAAUCAAUCAUAUGGACCAAUAGUUGUAAUAGGACCAAAUUGUUUUAAUGUGAUUAAAAUGCAUGCUAAUAUGUAACGAGACCUAAAAACCCUCAACCAAACCUUUAUUAAGUUGACAAGUGUGAGAGUGCUUUGAACACUCUUUCGUGGCCUUCCACCGUGGUAGGCUACAAUCGUUUGUGACUCGUACACCGACUUCACCCUAUCAUGGGGGAGUACAAAGUGUGUGCUUACACUCAGGAGGAGUCCUAUAUGCAUACAUGAUGUUGUGAAGGUAGGCAACGAGAAUGAUCAACAUCAUAUCAUUGUGAGGUUGUUCUUGAACCCUUACUCAAACUUGCAUGGUGGGAAUGACUUAACUAAAAGCAAUGGAGCCAACAUCGUAUCAUUGUGAAGCAUCAUUCUCUAGAGGCCAAAUAAGAUGGGAACUUACAUGAGAUGUAAAUGAGUAAGCGUACUCUCUCAUUAUUAUUGUUGCUAGCCAAGAGCAUAUCAUAGUAAGGUGGGCUCGGUAAUAAUGAGCCUCUCAUACCCUGCUAAGAGUUCCUUCCAAAACUCUAAAAUUUCGAUGAGGGAUAUGGAAUUUGCCAAAAAUAGCGGGUGGUGCUAUUUGAUUUAAAGACCUGGAUCAAAUGGCUUAAAAUCAAUCAAUUUAUAUUCGGUAUGUAUUUAUUUACCGAUAUAUUUGCAAACGUUUUCCAAAACUUGACAAAGAAAAGCCUAAGGCUCUAGUUUCCGGACUUGGUAGCACAAUCCCAUAGAUUGUCUUGAAUGGAUUGUAUAUGUACCUAAGUAGUCUCAUCCUCACAAUCUUCCUAUUGAUAAUGUAUCAUUCGAAGAACAUGUUAGAUAAGUCUAUCAUAAAGAGGACAACACAAACAACCAAUGCUUAUUCCUUUGUUGCAUGAACAAAGGAACUUAUGAAGAUUAGCACAAAGACAUACACUUUUAGUGUCAUAGUUCUUCACUUACAAAUCAUUGUAUGAAGAAAUAUGAGUUGCUUUGAACAACCCUUAGUUAAUGCAAACACUAGUGCUUGUUUCUUUGUUAAAUGAACAAGGAACUUGAGAAGUAAGCACAAGGGCAUGGACACUUUAUGUGCCAUGAUUCUUCACUUACAAAUUGUUGUAUGAAGAAAUGAGAGUUGCCUUGAACAACUCUUGAAUGUUUGUAAUCUUGUUUAGAACAAGAUGGUUGGUUGACAAAAAUAGUCCAUCAAUUUGGACUUAUGAUGAUUUUGAAUCAUUAAGUGUUGAAGUGUUAAACCACUUCACGAGACGAAAACUAGCCAAGGACUUCACCUUUGAGUCCCUAUCCAAAUGGUUCACUAAGUUUAUUGUAAACUAUAUAGUGAACAAUAACCGCACUCUCUCCAAAUUAUUUGAUGCGUAUAACACAAUUGAAAUAAGUUUCAAGAGAGAUAGUGGGAGUUUAGGGACCAUGACUAUUGUACUCAAUGGAGAAGUCAAAUGAAGAAGGCGAAUAACUCCAAGGGAACAAACUUUCUUAAUGAAAGGAUGGACAUUGGAAGGGGUAUUUGCAAGAAAUGUCUUGCAAGUGUCAAGAACACACAUUUCGAAGGCGGUGUAAAAUGUUCUUGAAUAGUUCAAAACAGUUGGUUCUUCUACUUGAAUGUUUGAUUCCAUAUUAGUAACUAUGUUUUACAAUCGUUGUAAAAGUGUGGCUAAAAAGAAAUCGAAGAUUAAUGAGAGAAGAGAAAGUACUUCACAUUCAGAACGUGAAUCAAAUAUAGAUCUCUGUGAAGCAAAUAGUGCUUACUUCCUCAUAUGAACAACCAAAGAAAUUGGAAAACCAAAGAUUGUCUUUACAUUCCAAUUUGAAUAAGGAACUUAAUUCCAUCACUAUAGUUUUAAGAGAUGGAUAAUUGUUUUGUUUGAAAAACAUUGUUCUUUAUUAAUGAAUGAUUGGAUUAUAGUAAUCUGAUUAAUUGUGUCUAUAUUGUAGAGAUAAUGUGGUAGUGUUAACUGUUUAGAAUAUAACGAUGCUUAAAACCCAAAAGUUGCAAGGUAGUGACUAAUCCCACCGAGUUGUGUUACCUCUAAAACAUAAAUUAUAAGUUGGUUAUAGAUGGAUGCUUUGGAUCAUUAGAUCCGGAUCCAAUGCGUUCUUGUUAAAACUGUAUAAAGGUGAAAUGUUUGAGUCUUUAUUCUUUUGGAAAGAAUAAAGAAUCACAAAGUUGCUGAGGUUAAUUCACUUAGAUGUUAGUGGCACUUGUCAACAACAUAAUACUACUCAUGUUGUAUGACAUUCACCGAAGAUCGAUCUUCGUUGGACUAUUGUUUAUUUUGAAUAAACACAAGUCCGAAUACUUUGCAAAAGGUUUCAAAGAAUUCAAGAAUGUAAGUUGAUGAGUAAGACGUCUAAAGUAUUACCUCCUUAGAUUUGAUCAAAGGAAAAAUAACAUUUUAAAAGAGUUUCCUUGAAAGAUAUCAAGAAAAGUAGCAUCAUAUGAUAAUGGAUCUCCAUUGGGAGAAGAACGAACUCGAAUAAGAUUUAUUUCUUUGGAUGUUAUCAAUUACCCAUAUUUAGGAUAUAUACUUCUAAAACAAUAUGAUUGUCGAUUAGAAGAUCUUCCAAAAUUUUCAUGACUUGGAAAGAAAGACAAGUCUUAAGCAUGUUAAGAUUUAAGGUUGUGUGCUAAUAAGCAAUAUUUGUUGAGAACAAUCUUGUUUGAUAUCCUUAUAUUAACCUUUGGAUAUCACUUCUACAAACCAACUAACAAAUGUUGUUUGUUGGGUAGUUUUGUAAUCCUACACUAGGAUUUGCUUAAGAUAGAGCAAAUGAACGAGAGAUAGAACUCAAAGAAUGGGUUCUUUAAGAGACAAGAUAAUAAUCAACAAAUAUAACAACCUAGUUCCUACACCACAGGCUCCAAGGUAGUCGAGAAGGAUUUAUAAACUGUCUCAGUUGAAUGGUUUGAACUUUAUGACUAUGUCAGAGUUACACCUCUUAAUUUGAAAGAAAUAAGAAUGAAAAUCCUUAUGACUACAUUGAGUGUAUAUAUAACAUAUACUCAAGGAAAUGGCAUAGUAACAUUUGACCCAAAACAAUGAAACCUACAUAGCUAAAUGGGAGCUUAAGGUGACUACAAUCAACGAGAUUGGUUGACUUGGAAGAAACCAUCUUUGAUGUAGCCUUGGUUUCUAUAAAUUCGAAGAUUGCUAGCUAUAACUAAACUGUGAUUCAAUGUUUGGACAUAAUAUGGGUUUCCAAAACCAUUAUCAAGAUAGUCUUGAUAAUAUAUGUCUAAGACUAGGAAUCACAAGACAUGUAAGUUGUAGAGAUCUAUCCAUCAUGAAUCUUAGCAAGCUAGUAGGAGCUAUAAGCGUCUUAUGAGAGAGAUCAAAUCGUUUGAUUCCUCAUAAGAUGUAAAUGAAUCUUUUGUUUACUAGGUUUACAAAAGAUUAGUGGGAGUUAAUCAUAUUCCUAAAUUUGAACAUAUAUAUGAUAUAUUAAUUUUAGAAAUUCUUCUUCGUUAAAGUUAUGACUUUAAAACAUUCUAUAACGAUAGAAUGUAUAUGGGAAACAUAGUCUAUAUGCAUGGGAUGAAAAUCUAUAAUGAUAGAUUUUAGGAUAUAGUUGGAUUAUAUCAAGCCCUAAUGAUAGACAAAAGAUGCUAGGAAGUUUCUCAUAUAAUGAUAAACUUCAAUCAGAAUGACAAUUCUAGUGAGACUAAGAAGUUACUCUUCUCAAAGGGAACGUACCCUUUGACUCCCAAAGAAGUUUAAUGCGUAAAUAGAAUCCUUUAUGCAUAUGCAUAAGGGUGAUUUACGUAUUACAUAUUGUAUGAAAAAACAUUGAUAUGAGUUGUACCAAGAUCGGUACAAGAUGAUAUCAGUGCAAGCCCAGCAUCAGACCCAUGGCAACUGUCAAGUGAGUCCUUAAGUAUUUAAGAAAUACUAAAGGAUAGAUUCCACAAGAAUGAGAAAGAAUUAGAGUAAUGCAAUGGAAGCGUAAAUGUAUUAGAUUAUGAAUCUAAUAUCAUAUCCAUGACAUGGAUGUCUCUUCAUUUUGAAUGAAUAGAUAAUUGGAUAUCUCUUUAUUAUGAGUAUAGAGAUAUAUGGGUGGAGACAUUAAAAGUAAUGACUUUAGUGUGUUCCAUCGUGCAUGCAAAAUAUAUCAUCAUAUAGAAGCUUACAACCAUGUUGUUUGGAUGGGAAAGUUCAUUUAUGAACUCUCCAUUCAGUUCUAACCAGAAAGCUUCACUAGUCACUAAUGGGGCGAUAGCUCAAGCUGGGGAAUCAAGGUCUCAUCAAAAUCCGAACUCAAAUGAGAGACUGAACCACAUGAUUAAGAAUCAUGUAUAAUGGUGAUGUCGUUAUUCUUAAGGUUGCUUCUAUGGAUAACAUAUAAAUAUCCAUUGUCUAGGCCUACUACUCAGCCAUUUAUGAAAUGAAUUCAAAAGAGGUAUCAUCACUGAUGACCAAGCUGAUUGGCUCUAAAGCAAGUGGGAGAUUGUUGAAAAUGUGUCCUAAAACCAAUCAUAUGAUGAUAUUUUACGGACAUUUCACAUGUUAAACUAAUCUAGUUUAAUAUAAAGGGCAAAGAUUAUUAUUUUAAGCCAUCUCAUAUAAAUGUUAUAUGCUUAAACAAUAAGUCUAACGAAUAUGUAAUUGGGAGAAUGUGAUAUAAAGAAGUUAGAUUCAAGAUACCAUUCUCUUUCUUAUACAUAUCCUAAACGUUCCAGAUCAUAAGAUUGCCAAUUGGGUAUUGACAGUCCGUUAAGAUCAAUACGUGCUAUGUCUUUCCUUAAGGAGAAUGAUUGGUCUUGAGUCAUUGGUGUGACCGACACCAGGACAAGGAUGUAGGUGCUCAAUAGAGAAUGAGUACACUGAACACGAUCAAUGAGGAGUUCUCAUACUCAUGUCACAUGAGAACUCAUGGUUGGGAUAAUGCAAAGUAGUCAUUUGACCUGAGGCAUCAUAGUUGUCUUGUUGUUAGGUCUUUGAUCUUUGACUAUGUCAAAGUCACUCCGUCAAAGGGCGUCCACAACAUAGUUAGGGUUAAGCCACUUAGCCACAGAGACAAGUGAAUGCACAAUAAGGGAUCUUUAGCCUUCAAACCAUUUGAGGGAGAAUACUCUAUGAUAUGAUUAAGAAUUGGAGCUUUCGAGCCGAUAUUAUUGAAGGAAACAUUUGUGAAAACAAGUUCAUUUAAGCAGCAUCUACAACAUGCAAUUAACAAUUAAAGGCAGAAUCAUGCUUGUAUGCACUCAAAAACAAAACUAUGCCCAUGAAAUUCAAGGCCUAGUGAGUGUGGUGAACUAAGACUCAACUCAAGUACAAAGUGAGUUGAGAAAUAUUAUACCUUUGUUAAUUCCUUUUUGCAUAAGCAAAGGCUAAUCACCCAAGAGAUAGGUCCUUCAUUCCUUACUUCUUAGCUCCACGGAUUUCUUAGAUGAGGAUGGUAGAAUGGAUUCUCCAAGUUCCCAAAAUAGAGAACCUCUAAGUCUCCACACCAAGGAGAGACUAGAAUAAGAGAUGAGUAACCUUGGAGGAAGGAAGAUUGCUAGCUAAUCUCCUGCAAGGGGCCGGCCUCCUAGAGAGAAAGGGAGAGACUUGUUCUAUCCAAUUUCCUCUAAAAGAACCCUAAAUGAAUUUUGGCUAUGAAGUUCUUUAUAUAGUCACUUCACUUCAGUGACAUAGAGAACCAAAACCCUAUUUCAUCAAUAUGGCUAGCCUUCAAUGGUCUUUGGGUGAUUAAGGCCCUCUUGAAUCUUUAUUCAUUAAGUUGUCAUACAACUUAAGUCAAUUGGCUUAACAUUCGAAGCUCAUUAGGCCUUGAGGCUCAAAACUAACCCGAGGUCUAAAACAAACUUAUUUGUUUGAUUAAUUAACAUAUUAAUUAAUCCUAGCCAUAAACAAUUAAACCAUUUAAUUGUUCUUACUCAAUUCUGUUGUUUCUUCAAUCUCUACCUUACACGGUGUACGAUUCAUUAGGUUCCUUUUAGCGAGGCAGUGCGCGAUUGUUACUCUUAACGACCGAUUGUGAAUUGAAACAACAUUUCAAUUCUUCCUUUGAUGAAGAUUACCAGGGCUUCCAUAAACCAUGAGUGACACCUAACAGUAUAUCAUGGCUACCUAAGCUAAUCAAAAGAGGCGGAUAACCUAUUCAUUUUAGGAUUACAAUGCAAUGCGGUCUUUCUUUAAUACAAUACUCUUCACCACAUUGUUUCGUUUGAUAGGUUAUUCAUGUCUACCAUCCAAUGUGAUUCUUUUACUUCUAUGAUUACCUUGAAUGCGAUUUGGAACGACUUCCUAAAUCUUAUUCAUACUCUGGCCAAAGAUUCUUAAAUAUUCUCCCUCAAAUGGUUUGAAGGUUAAAGAUCCCUUGUUGUGCAUUCACUUGCCUCCAUGGCUAAGUGGCUUAACCCCAACUAUGUCAUGGAUACCCUCUCACGGAGUGACUUUGAUAUAGUCAAAGAUCAAUGGCCUAACCACAAGACAAUUAUGAUGCCUCAGAUCAAAUGACUAUUUGGCAUUAUCCCAACCAUGAGUUCUCAUGUGACAUGAGUAUGAGAACUCCUUGUUGAUCAUGUUCAGUGGACUCAUUCUCUAUUGAGCACCUACAUGCUUAUCUUGGUGUUAGUCACACCAAUGACUCGAGACCAGUCACUCUCCCUAAGAAAAGACAUAGCACGUAUUGAUGUUAAAGGACUAUCAAUGCCCAAUUGGCAAUCAUAUGAUCAGGAACAUUUAGGAUAUAUAUACGAAAGAGAAUGGUCUCAUGAAUCUAACUUCUUUAGAUCACAUCCUCCCAAUUACAUAUUCCUUGGACUUAUCGCUUAAGCAUAUAACAUUUAUAUAAGACGGCUUCAAACAAUAAUCUUUGCCUUUUAUAUUAAACUAGAUUAAUUUAACAUAUGAAAUAUCCGUAAUGUAUCAUCAUAUGAUUGGAUUUAAGGCACAUUUCCAACAAUUAUAAAGGCGAGUGCCAACUUUUCAUCCUCGGGGUAUCGUGAUUCGGCCCAUCAUAAUGCUCGGCUAACAUAGUAUACCAGUUACUUCCCUUAUAAGACAGAGAUAAUUGUAGAUGGUGAGACUAAUAAAUGUAUAUAUAGUGGCUCAUUAUGCUUGAA
RNAcentral lists this long non-coding RNA (31290 nucleotides) under Malus domestica (apple). RNAcentral's name for it is "long non-coding RNA (MDOM_LNC011238)". The record is from RNAcentral. Lineage: Eukaryota; Viridiplantae; Streptophyta; Magnoliopsida; Rosales; Rosaceae.